CCUAGUGCCUCCAGAAAGAACGCAGCCCUACUGACACCUUGGUUUUGGCCUGGUGAGACCAACUUUGGACUUUUCACUUCCAAAACUAAAACGAAGAGUGCUCUGGACAGUGGGUGGAGAAGAUUCAAGUACAUCUUCCUUGCUGACAAUAUGCUCUCCUAUCUUUUGUAAGAGUACACAAUUUAAAUUUCUAAAAAUUCAUUACAAUACAAAGCAAAACAAUCCCUCGUAGAUUUAUAAUCAAACUAAUAUGCCACUUAGAAAAGAUUUGAAAUAAAUGCAAAUACCUAGGUACAA
RNAcentral lists this long non-coding RNA (297 nucleotides) under Homo sapiens (human). Its description in RNAcentral is "non-protein coding HTR2A-AS1:1". The record is from RNAcentral. Lineage: Eukaryota; Metazoa; Chordata; Mammalia; Primates; Hominidae.